RNAcentral lists this ribosomal RNA (497 nucleotides) under uncultured bacterium. RNAcentral's name for it is "partial 16S ribosomal RNA". It matches the Rfam family "Bacterial small subunit ribosomal RNA", at positions 28 to 507 of the family's 1533-position model. The record is from RNAcentral.
GAUGAACGCUGGCGGCGUGCCUAAUACAUGCAAGUCGAGCGAACGGACGAGAAGCUUGCUUCUCUGAUGUUAGCGGCGGACGGGUGAGUAACACGUGGAUAACCUACCUAUAAGACUGGGAUAACUUCGGGAAACCGGAGCUAAUACCGGAUUAUAUUUUGAACCGCAUGGUUCAAAAGUGAAAGACGGUCUUGCUGUCACUUAUAGAUGGAUCCGCGCUGCAUUAGCUAGUUGGUAAGGUAACGGCUUACCAAGGCAACGAUGCAUAGCCGACCUGAGAGGAUGAUCGGCCACACUGGAACUGAGACACGGUCCAGACUCCGACGGGAGGCAGCAGUAGGGAAUCUUCCGCAAUGGGCGAAAGCCUGACGGAGCAACGCCGCGUGAGUGAUGCAGGUCUUCGGAUCGUAAAACUUUGUUAUUAGGGAAGGACAUAUGUGUAAGUAACUGUGAACAUCUUGACGGUACCUAAUCAGAAAGCCACGGCUAACUACGUG